UGGGGAAUAUUGCACAAUGGGCGCAAGCCUGAUGCAGCCAUGCCGCGUGUAUGAAGAAGGCCUUCGGGUUGUAAAGUACUUUCAGCGGGGAGGAAGGGAGUAAAGUUAAUACCUUUGCUCAUUGACGUUACCCGCAGAAGAAGCACCGGCUAACUCCGUGCCAGCAGCCGCGGUAAUACGGAGGGUGCAAGCGUUAAUCGGAAUUACUGGGCGUAAAGCGCACGCAGGCGGUUUGUUAAGUCAGCUGUGAAAUCCCCGGACUCAACCUGGGAACUGCAUCGGAUACUGGCAAGCUUGAGUCUCGUAGAGGGGGGUAGAAUUCCAGGUGUAGCGGUGAAAUGCGUAGAGAUCUGGAGGAAUACCGGUGGCGAAGGCGGCCCCCUGGACGAAGACUGACGCUCAGGUGCGAAAGCGUGGGGAGCAAACAGG
This 429-nucleotide ribosomal RNA is filed under the name Chloroflexota bacterium. RNAcentral's name for it is "Chloroflexi bacterium partial 16S ribosomal RNA". It matches the Rfam family "Bacterial small subunit ribosomal RNA", at positions 355 to 776 of the family's 1533-position model. The record is from RNAcentral. Lineage: Bacteria; Bacillati; Chloroflexota.